Brachypodium distachyon (stiff brome) is the source of this 2631-nucleotide long non-coding RNA. RefSeq lists it as uncharacterized. Lineage: Eukaryota; Viridiplantae; Streptophyta; Magnoliopsida; Poales; Poaceae. The transcript is spliced from 3 exons. The record is from RefSeq and is a predicted model, not a curated record.
AGGCACCCCGCGAGAGACAAGAAAGGAUCCUUCUUCUCCCAUCUCACAAGAACAAAAAAAAAUCUCAAUCUCCUUUCCCCUCUCCGCCUCUCACCGUCGCGUCGCCCUGCCGUAUUUGCGUCGAUCUGCCCCUCCCCGCCGUAUCCGCACUGCCCCGCCGUACCAGCGCUGCCUCGCCAUACCUGUGCCGCUCUGCCUAGCGUCACCGGCGCCUUUCCUGCGAGGUCCGCCGCCCGCAAGGAUGCAGUCACGGUGACCGUGCUUGGAACCAUGGCAGCGACGAGAUCCGUUUUCUCAAGAUGUUAUAGGGUUUUUUUUUUGAGAAUCUUCCGGGUCUCGCCGUCGCGCGUCGCCAGACCACCCCAUCGAACCCCUGUGUCCCUCUCGCGGGCGCCCACUGCCACCCGCGACUUCCCCUGGUCUGCCGCUUCGGCCUCAUAGACCACCCAUCCGGUCUACAACUCCUGAAGUAAUUAUUUCCACGGAAUAGAUACUUGGAGAUUGCUCUGAAAUGUCAGUAACUAUCUGGACCUCCUCUCGUCAUCAUCCUCAAUGAGCCCCUGAAUUCAGGAAUGAUGGUAGAGUGCAGACUCUAAUUCAGUUAUUUUCUUCCCUUUUUUUCUUCAUUGCAACUUAGUAAUUAUUUCCACAGUAUAGAUACUUGGAGAUUGCUAUGUAAUUUCAGUUUUCAUAUGGUGGGCUAUGGCAGAUUAUAGAAAAAGAGAACAUGAAGUUGACUUUUGUAGAACUCUUUGUGUUACUUCAACUGCAAGAUCCAAAUUGUCUUCAGAAAUAAUGGUCUUUCACAUGGAAUAAAAUCCAGCGUUCAGGUAUGUCUUCAGAAAUAACUUUUUUUCCUUCCUCUGUUCAGGUAUGUCUUCUGAAAUAAAAUCCAGCGUCAUAUGGAAUAAAACCUGACAUGGAUACUUUGUUUGCUGCAUGGGUGCCUAAAUAUUUGAGAUGGCUGUGUAGGGAAUGGGGAUGUAUGAUCUUCUCCGAUUUCCAAAUUAUCAUAUUUAUAGCUGUUAUGGUUCUCAGAUUUUGUAUGCAAGCAAAGGUAAGGUAGAAGCAAUAAGUUAUUCAAUGAGAAGAACAUGGUAUUAGAGAAAAUAUGGCUAAAAGAACUCAAUAGGCACACGGUAGUAUUACUGUCUACACAUAUUUAUAUACACAUGGGUUUUCUAGUAUAGUUAGACUCAAACAUGUGCAUGGAAGAAGCUUACUACCGCUAUCCAUACUCCUAAAUGGCCAUGGAUGCAGCCAUCUCUUUUAAGAUGAACCGACCGUUAGUUUUUAUAAUACUUGGAACGACAAGCUUCCUUUCUAAGAACAUGCAGCAUGCAUAUGCGAUGGCUGUUUUGGAAUCUUUGCGUUGCACCUCUCCUCUCCCCAAAUGGAAUGCAUGCCCAGCAACGAGCAAAACUGUGUGUUGUUGUAUAUACAUGUCACUACAACACAAAUGUCUUGUAGAGACAUUUUCAUUGAGCCAAUAUACUCUUUGUCUCUACCUAGAGACAAUUUUGAGACAGAGUUUCAUGUAGAGGCAGUUUAUGAGGCGCUAUGGAUAAUGUCUUAAAUAUAGAGGCACUAGUUGAGACAUUAUGGUGUAGAGACAUUUUAUGAGGCAUAUAAUAGAUUGUCACAAGACUCCUGUAGAGACAUGGUUUUGAGAUACUUGAUGAAAUGACCUUACGGUAUGGUUAGAGGCACUAUUUGAGACACAUUUUAUGUUGUGUAGAGACAUUCUUAGCAAGUUUGAGACAUGUAGCAGACUAGUCAUAACAAUUUCAUUAGAAGUAUAAGCAAGAAUUGGUAUCAGGUUGAGAUGGUUAGGUGAGUGUGUAGUUUUCCUUAAGGUCUUGAGUUCGAGGAUUGGUUUCAACAUGAUUUUUUCAAUGUAUAUUUUCUAGCACAUGAGUAUAAAGACACAAUUUAAUGUCUUACAAAAUGUCGCAUUGAAUGUAGAGACAAUAUAGUGUCUCUAUGAAAUGUCUAAAAAGUAUAGAGACACAAAGCAAUGUCUUUAUGAAAUGUCGUAUUGAACGUAGAGACGGUAUAGUGUCUCUAUGCAAUGUUUAACACGAUAAAGACGUUUUAUUAGUGUCUCAUCACAGUGUAGUUUACUUUCAGCCUAAUGGUACAUAAUUUCUAGUUUGUUGAUGAGGAAUUGUUAACUAAUACCACUUUAUAUAUAUUGAUGCUACCACAUGUAUUCAUCAAACUCCUAAAAUGAGUGUCGUUUUAUUUUCAGGAACGCAAUGUCAGCUCACAUAUUUCUGCCCACCAACCUGCUACAAAUCGAGACAGGCUGUUUGGAGGUUUCUUCAAUGAGUCUAGAACAAGAGCAAUUAGGUUCUCAUUUCUGCUCAUGAGCAGCCAAAUGACAGCAACUGAAUAGGUCUUGCGUAUGCAGUGUUUUGGUGUAGCAAACCACUGCAUACCCAUUUGUGAUGGUAGUUGACAUGUUAAGUCAUGUUGUUUGGGCAUAGCAAACUAGCCAUUUACUGAUUUGUUAUGGCUGUAAUGAGGUUUUCUUUUUGUGUAGAAACAAAAUUUGCUACUGAUCAUGAUCGUGUUAUUUGAAUGAAGAGUGAGAUUGAUUGAAAUAAUUUGUGCCAUGUGCAGUUUCUA